Nannospalax galili (Upper Galilee mountains blind mole rat) is the source of this 102-nucleotide small nucleolar RNA. RefSeq annotates it as small nucleolar RNA U13. NCBI's taxonomy places the organism in Eukaryota, Metazoa, Chordata, Mammalia, Rodentia, Spalacidae. The transcript has a single exon. The record is from RefSeq and is a predicted model, not a curated record.
AUCCUUUUUUGGUCGAUAAACGUGAUGACGCAGGAUGUUCACGCCUGUGUUGACAUGCCUCCCUCAAACCUUGUUACAUAUCAGCACAUUACCCAUCUGACG